AUCGCUUCUUGGCCUUUUGGCUAAGAUCAAGUGUAGUAACUGGUGAGUGGGAAAGGCAAGAUUUGAAUCCAGAUCUGAGGCUAAAAAUGGUCUUCAUAAUUUCAUCAUUAAUCUGAAAAAUAAUCACCACACAGAUUUAUUGGUGAACUGGUCAAGGUGGUAAAAAUACAUUUCUCUUUAUUCUUACAUCUAAAUUCC
Molecule: small nuclear RNA, 198 nt
Organism: Lepus europaeus (European hare)
Lineage: Eukaryota; Metazoa; Chordata; Mammalia; Lagomorpha; Leporidae
Product: U2 spliceosomal RNA
Exons: 1
Source: RefSeq, a predicted model, not a curated record